GACGAACGCUGGCGGCGGGCUUAACACAUGCCAGUCGAACGGAAGGGCCCUGCUUUCUUCUGGUUCUCGAGUGGCGAACGGGUGUGUAACACAUGAGUCUCCUGCCCUUGACUUUGUGACAACUUCAGGCAACUGCGGCUAAUACCGGCUAGCUGCUCCUGCUGCUUGGUGGUCGUCGGAAAGCUUCGGCGGUUGGGGAUGUACUCGCGGUUUAUUAGCUGGUUGGUGGGGGAGUGGCUUACCCAGGCAUCGAUGGGUAGGCGGCAUGGGAGGGUGAACGGCGACAUUGGGACUGAGAUACGGAGCAGACGCGUACGGGAGGCAACAGUGGGGAGUAUGACACAGUGGGCGGGAGUGUGAGGCAGAGACGUCGCGAGCGGGAUGACGGCCAUCGGGUUGUAAACCGCUGUCGGCUGUGACGAAGCGGUAGUGACGGUAAUGGGUGAAGAAGCACCGGCUAACUACGUG
RNAcentral lists this ribosomal RNA (468 nucleotides) under uncultured bacterium. Its description in RNAcentral is "partial 16S ribosomal RNA". It matches the Rfam family "Bacterial small subunit ribosomal RNA", at positions 28 to 507 of the family's 1533-position model. The record is from RNAcentral.